AUUGAACGCUGGCGGCAUGCCUUACACAUGCAAGUCGAACGGUAACAGGUCUUCGGAUGCUGACGAGUGGCGAACGGGUGAGUAAUACAUCUGAACGUGCCUAGUAGUGGGGGAUAACUACUCGAAAGAGUGGCUAAUACCGCAUGAGAUCUACGGAUGAAAGCAGGGGAUCGCAAGACCUUGUGCUACUAGAGCGGCCGAUGGCAGAUUAGGUAGUUGGUGGGAUAAAAGCUUACCAAGCCGACGAUCUGUAGCGGGUCUGAGAGGACGAUAAGGCACACGGGGACUGAGACACGGCCGAGACUCCUACGGGAGGCAGCAGUGGGGAAUUGUGGGCGAUGGGCGAAAGCCUGAUCCAGCAAUGCCGCGUGCAGGAUGAAGGCCUUCGUGUUGUAAACUGCUUUUGUACGGAACGAAAAGCCCCGGGUUAAUAACCUGGGGUCAUGACGGUACCGUAAGAAUAAGCACCGGCUAACUACGUGCCAGCCGCCGCAGUAA
Molecule: ribosomal RNA, 498 nt
Filed under: uncultured bacterium
Lineage: Bacteria
Description: partial 16S ribosomal RNA
Rfam family: Bacterial small subunit ribosomal RNA
Source: RNAcentral